Molecule: ribosomal RNA, 381 nt
Filed under: uncultured bacterium
Lineage: Bacteria
Description: bacterial SSU rRNA
Rfam family: Bacterial small subunit ribosomal RNA
Source: RNAcentral
GACGAACGCUGGCGGCGUGCAUAACACAUGCAAGUCACGGGGCCAGCAAUGGCAACCGGCGAACGGGUGCGUAACACGUAAAGCGACCCUACCUCGAGUGUGGGGCAUAGCCGGCCUAACGGCCGGGUAAUUCCGCAUGUGAUCCUUGAGGGGCAGUAUCUCGGGGAUGAAACCNGUAAUGGGCAUUGAGAGGGGCUUGCGGCCUAUCAGCUUGUUGGCGGGGUAACGGCNCACCAAGGCGACGACGGGUAGCCUGGUCUGAGAGGAUGGCCAGCCACAUUGGGACUGAGAAACGGCCCAGACUCCUACGGGAGGCAGCAGUGGGGAAUCUUGCGCAAUGGCCUAACGGCUGACGCAGCGACGCCGCGUGAGGGAUGAAGC